GAUUGCUUGUCAUGUAAAGCUCACGUUUGAUUUGAAUUGUUUGGUUUUUAACCAUCAGCUCCUUUGCUCCCAUGAGCGGCAGUUUCCCAGUAUAGGAAUGUAGCAUUUUGUCUGUUGGCUCCAAUUGUGGCCACAAGGAUGCCCAAUGCCUUUAUGCCUCCGUGGCAAUCACACACACGAGAAAUCCUGUGCCGACUUAGCUCCACGCCACCCCAGUUGAGUGUAGUAGUGUACGUGGGGCUCAAUGCCUCUCCCACUGUGGAAAGGUAAAAACUCUUUGGUUCAUCUCCAAACACUAUGUUGGACUGAAACUUGUCCUUUUGAGCCUUGCUCCCGAAACGCUGACUUGCUAGAUGGCUGUGCUUGUUGUACUUUAAACACAUUGUGUUCUGGUGUGGGCAUUCUGGUGGUCACCACAACAAAUACACGGCAGCUUCUUUUCCAGUGGCCAGCUGGCUUUAUAAUUAUUGUGACACUUCUACUGCAAAACAUUUGUGCGGGCUGAUGCCAUUGCAGCUGGCAUGUCGCCUGUCCUCAGCAUACAACUGGCAUUGUAAUGACCAAUUUCACAUUGUGGGCUGUGUCAAGCACAUCCUCCAGUGUGAAACUCCGUGACUUGAAGAGCAGCAGCCAUUGCACUCCUUCCUCAUGCAUUCCAAUGAUGAAACGGUUGCAAAGGUUUCUUUCCAGUGUGUCACUGAACCCACAGUGGUCGGCGAUUUUGCGCAGUUACACCAGGUAGUUGGUAACUCCUCCGCUGUUUUGCACCCGGGUCUUGAACUUGGAAGGUUUUGCAGAUCUCCAAUGCCUUGGGACUGAGUUGCUGCAUCAAGACUCGGACAAUUGUGUUGUACGUUUCAUCCUUCGGCUUCCUUGGUGCAAGCAUUCUUUGCAGACGAGCAUAGGUCUUGGGGUUCAGUGAUGAACUUGGAAUGGACGCAUUUUUGGAGUUGCAUGUUACAUUGUUUGUUUCAAGGAUCGCUUCCAGCUGUUCAGCGUAGUUGACUCCUGAUUCUGAUGCCGAAUCAAUGUGCAAUGGUGCUGCAAUCAACAGCUGUGCCAUGGCGGCAGUCGUGUGAUUGAGUGCUGGCGGGACAGAUUUCCCCACCUUGUUGCUUCUUGCUGCGGUUCAACCUGGCAGUGCUUGUUGCCUUUCCAUACUGAUCUAGACCUGUCCCAUCCUCAUCACCAGAUUUGUUAUGUUUGUAACAAGUAUUUAUUCACAGUAUGGUAGUGGUGCCGCAUGCAUGGUGGAUGCAAAGGAGAGAAUACAUGGUAAGCACAAAGUCCCACACUCAGGGUUGCUAGAUGAGGCACACAGUUCACAUUACUAUUGGUACUACAAUUUCAAUAGCAAUUAUACGGAUGCUCAAGGUAUAAAAAUGCCGUCAGCACUGCUGUCGCCACUAGGGUUGUUGUGCUGUCCUGCUCACCAGUGCAUGUGCAGCUCAUGUGUGGAAGGUUAGGGGGCCUCCAGAGACACAGAAUGUGUUUGGCUGCAAUAAAGACCAAGUGAGGUGGACGCACCAUCAAUGCUAAGCUCAAUUGCCUCAAUACCAAUACAAUUGCCUCCAAGUACCAUUUUUAUCACACCACACAGACACAUGAGGACACAACUGAACAGAAAUUUUAAUGUACCGCCUGUUAGCAACUGGUACAGUAGGUGCAGGAACAUUGGAACCUACAUUGGAACGAAAAUAUGGAAUAAUCUUCCAAAGAGGACAAAAGAGAGUCCAAGGUUUUCGUAUGAUCUUAAGCAAUUGGUGAUCAAUAUGUUUCUGUAUUGUAAUAGUAACAGAUUUUGCUAUUGUUGGUUUUUCUCUUACGCUAUAACAAAUUUAUUGAUAUCAUGUUAACAACGUUAGCAGAAUCUGUACUUGCAAAUCACAUUACCUGUUAACCUGAGUUGCAAUGGUGUUUUGUAUUCAUUUGCAUGGACCCAGAACUAGCAGUAUUGCUAAGGGCCCAGGUGAUUUACACUAACGUUUGUAAUCAUAAAGAAAUAUAAACUGAACUGAAAAAAAAAAAAUGGUAGUGCCAGGGCAACAUUCUGGGCCUUCUGCUGCUGGCAUGAGCAUUGUGUACACACCAAAAUUAGACUAGUGUUCUUGCUGAGCUGCUGUCUGUAAUCAUUGCUCUGAGCAGAACGGGCGGCAACCGCCAAGCUAAUGGUAUGUAAUAUUGCACUCGGUACUCACUAAUGUCGACGGUUUCCCAUCGGUCUCACCUUGUGCAGCAUCGAGGUGCGAUGCCUGCAACGCCACGGGCGACGCUCUUUAUCACACCAACGUUGUGAGACACCUGGUAGCAGCCAGGGUACUCUGUCUUGUCCCCAACAGGAGUUGCCUUGCUUGCUGUGUUGCGCCCGAAUAUAAUUAGAUUACUGUCUAAGGAGCCUAGGUGCAAUGCUAUACCCUUUUGUCGCUGUCGAUGCUUCGCCCUCUGAGUGAAACUGCCAAUUUUUUUGUUAAUGUUAUGUGUAGAAGUCUCUAUUGCAGCGAUAUCAGCAGAUUAUUUUCAGUUGCUUCAAUUAAAGGAUGAAUGAUAGGAAAUUUAUGCAUUUUUCAAGCAUAAAUGCAAAAAAGAGCAUGCAUGAAAAAUGUUUGCGUUUUAUAUUAUUCAUCUUUCUGUCGAAGUGGCUAACUGAAAAUAACCUGCUCAUAUCACUGCAAUACUGACUUCUACUGUCCGACAUGAACCAAAAAGAGAAAAGAAGAAAGCGUCAACAAAGUGUUGAUGCUAAGAAGACAAGGUCAAUGUGCAUAGCUGUUAAAAUGAUUCAGUGAUUAAAUGUUGAUUAUAUGUCACUAUUCUGUCUCUUUUUCAUGUUUAUUAUUCACUUAUUUCAUAUCUUAAUCAUAUCAUGUUUCACGAGCAAUUAUGUCGACCUUGAUCAGGUCUACGUAGCUGCCCUGCAACGUAGGAGAUGCUCUUUGUAUUCUUCAGAAGUGUCGUCAGCCACGUGUCUGUGUUGAACGACUCUGUUCCGCUCCAGGGCCUCCAAACAUUGCUCGAUGCCCUGCCGCUCCUAGUGGCCACGCUACAAAUCGCGCAUUUAGGUGAGACGGGCCUUGCAAGCUUUGGCCGUCUUCUUGGCUUGGCUGGUGCAUGCUUUGGUGAAAUGAGCCUCACGCGCGUCAGCAUUUUCAUUGGCCUAUUGAGCAUUGACAGCUUUUCAGCAUCAACAGCUCUCUUGUGACACGGCAACUAUACAAACCCCUCACACACUGAGUUACCACACCAUGCUAGGUCUGCGUCAAGGCCAGCAAGCUGCUUUCGCGUCCGCAUGUGCUCAAAGACGGCGGCACACAUGCACACUCAGGUGUGCUUCUCCAACCCAGCUGUCCUCCAUCCUGAACUUUAGGGCACAUGCCUCGAUGCACGCGCCCUCCCUUUCGCUGCAGCAUGCACUGAUUGAGGCACCUUAUCAAACUCUGGCAUAAGGUGCAGCAGUUAGAUGGCACGUAGCGCUGGCAUGACAGAGGGUGACAUGCACACUCGCAACCCACGCUGUUUAAAGCUCAUUUCUGAUUGUAUCCUUAGUUGACUAUUGCUGCAUGUUCUCGGCAUGAAGAGGUAUCAAAUUAAUAUAAUUUUCAUGUUCAUAUGAUGUCAACAAGUCACCCAACCAACCAAUUUUUCAAAAAGUGGUUACGAGAUACCCAGAUACGCCAAAUCCAUCUGGAGUCAGCUAAGAAGAGCUUGUCUUCAACAAACUGUGCAAGUACGGUUUGAUAAAGUGAGGGUUGCCCACUGUAUGUUUAGUUGUAAGCCUUGCUCUUUUCCUCCUGUGUUUACGCUAUUUUAUCCUUGACAAUGGUACACCAACUGGCCUGCACUUGUACACAGUGCCCUGCACAUUUAUUUGUUUUUUCACUUUCAGUGGUGGACUUGUUUUGAGGUUGGCACCUGAGAGGGACAGGACGGGUGGGAUGCAUUCUAGCAGCAAUAACCACUUCUUGGAAGAUGGUGAAGGGUGUGCAUCUGUGUAUGCUUGUGAUCAUAAGAAAUUGCCCAACCUCUGAGCUGUUGCACCUGUUAUAACGUCAUCGCUGACAUCGCAUAAGGCUGGAAAAAAAGCAGGUAUAUUGAAAACUGUAGGAGAUACCAAGCAAUCUAACGUGCAAAUUGUAAGCUCCUUGCUGCAUGCAGCAGUGUAUUGUCUAUAGAUCAAGGAUGGUUUGUUACCAUGUUGUAAGACAUGUUUAAUUUCAGUGCCCCUUCUAUUGAAUGCUCUUGAGAAAUUCUUGCAUGUUCACACAACAGAGCUUGCACACAGGUCAAGUUUGUCACCCAGGCUGUCUUCUAAACAACCAGAGCAGAAGCAUUGUGGGAGGCUGUAGUGGCACAAGCUCUGUUAUGUGAGAUGUCUACUGAGGUUCUGAGAAUUGUCAAGACCUCUGUUUCAUUUUAUAAUCUGCGGUUGCAGCCAGGAUUACAUUUGUGCUGCCAUUUCUAAGCUAUGAGCCUGUACUCCACAUCAUUCUAGGGUAGUUCUCCAUGCCCUUUUGCUUCAUGUGAUCACUGCAUUUUCAUCUGUUGUGCAGAUUAGUCUUUUAAUUUCAGCAUAUCAAUUCACAUUUGUUGUGUAAUCUUAACUCUUUCAAAAUGUGGUGCCUAUUUACCUCUCGUUGCACUGACCUGUUUUGUGUGAAGUUCUUUUGUUGUCAUGGGGGCCCCAUAAUUCAGCACACAUAGUAUACCUUGUAACAACAUAUCUGCCAAGUAUUCUUUUGGUAAAUUGCAGAGGGGGGAAAAUGCUUGGGUACCACUGUGAUUUGCUCUACAUGUCGGCUGAUGGCAGCCAAGAAAGCUGUAUUUACACACCAGUGCAAAAGGUGCACGGACGGCAAAAGAAGCAGACUGGGUACAGAGCUGCAUCCUGUCUUGUUCUUUCACUGUCUGUGUGCCUUUUGCAUUACUGUUUAAAUAAUGCCAUGCCAACUAGCCCACUAGCCUGUCCUUUUGACAAAAGCUUUGUUUCUGAAAAUUCACCAUGUGUUCAUGGACAUUUUUAUCAUAUUUCACUGAAAUUGGCACUCCAAUUUUUGCACACCCAUAGUGCUUUAGAAGUUUGGUGUGUUUUAUGUAUGUAGGCAGUCGGUUAUAACCUAAUGCAGUUUUGCUUGGGCCCCACUGGUGCCACUUCUCUGGGUUGAGAAACAACUGGCAUGACGUUGUGUGGCAAAGGAAUAUGUAUUCCCAUCCUUGCAUGCAAAGGCCACCACUCAAAUGAAGCUAGCUGUAGUAGCUGAACCAAAUCAACAUCGUGGUGUCACUGUGAUCGUAGUGGUGCCCCUACAGCCUCAUGACUUAAAGAUCUUUAGUAUUACCAUGAACGCUGCUACCAAAUCAGUUGUGACACUGGCCAAAUGCAAAUGUAGGUGGCCGCUUUGGCACCACAUUGACAACUGUGGAGAUCAUGCUUAAUACUGCAUUUCUCUGCGUGAUCUCUCCGUAAAUAGCUGCGGUGGCAUUGGGCCACUCUUGGCAUCCUGCAGUGCAAGGUGGCUGAGCUCUUUCCAUGCUAGUGAUGCAUCAAAUUUGGCAGCAGUUUCAUGAUGAACAUUCUGGUGACAUCCUCUCUACCUGCUUCAUUACUUGUGGCAAUUGUAAUUAUCUUUAGGGACUGUAGUUCUGGCCCCAUUUUAGUUUAAAUUAAGAAGGCAUUUGUUUUCCUUAGAAAAUCCAGCACUUACUGGCACCUCUUCUCUUACAGUGCCUUUUCAGCAUUGGGCACUUGGCUUUGAAAAACUGCAUAUUGGCAAGGAAACCGUAGAACAAGAAAGCUUUAUUCUCAUAAAUACACUGAGGCAAAUUAAUUACAGUUGAAUUGAAAUGUUUGCUGAGUAUUCAAAUUAAUUAAAUACAAAAUAAAUGAAUUCUUUUUUUAUAUAAUCCCCAGCAUCCCUUCCUCAUAGAGAGUGUUUCGGUACCUGCCAGACUUCGAGGCUCUAGAGAGAGCCUCCGAGAAGUGAACCACUUCACUCAGUAAUGUCCUCCUUUUGCUCCUCUCAUAAUUGGUACACACCUGUCAUGCGCAUCUCACAUGGGAUGAUGUGUACAUUUCAGACAAAUCUGUACAUGCCAGGUAUAUCGGCGUAUGCAGUUGGGGUGUGCAAGCUCAGUGGAGCAAAAACUGCACCUCUUGUGCCAUAUUGUGCCAGUUGUUUGCAUCAUCCUGCUCAAAAACUGCAUUUUAGCAGAAAAUUGCGCCAUGCCUGUGGCAAAUAAAGCACAAGAGUGGAAGCCUCCUAUGCUGCCUCAGUAGUAAAACUGAAUCCAAAAUCUCCCAAUGGGUCACAGAUAUCCGAGGAACUUUCAUGGGAGAUCCAACUCCGGACAUUAUGACGUCCAGUGGACAUUCCUACAAAUCCGGAUGACAUACUACGAAUGUCUAUGACACCGUCCUGCGCAAAAAAAAAAAAAGAAGCGUUUGACUGGAUGUCCUGCAGACGUCGCUCGCGUACAUUAGUAUGUUCAUAGGAGGUUAAAAUUUGUACUUUUUUCCUUUAAAACGUCCAGGGUACGUUCAUCAGAUGCAGCACUUGGAUAUCUGAUGUUCAUGGGACAUUAUAUGGCUGUUGUGUUGUAGGAUAGUUUUAGGCGGUGGCUUCUGAAUCUAUUCUUUACUGUGCAUGUUGCUGUGCAGCGGACAUUAAUUCUUAUCAGAAUGCAGCUUUCCACCAUAAUGCAGUGGAAUGUUCGCAGCGGACAUUCCUAGCAUGCAUGGUAUACACUGAAUGCUACGCAUUAACUCUAUAUCACAAAUGUAUGCUAUGCAUAGCAUGCAAUGUGUUCCGCGUGCAAGGAAGAGCAUAUACAUUGUGUUCAAACAAACACACGUGCGGGGCCGCAUGCAAAUGCAUUAUGCAGUUUCCUUCAAGACCUUCUGCCUGUCAUAUGUGGGAUAUUCAACUAAUAAAGCUUUAGUCAAUACUAUGAAAAAGUA
This 6952-nucleotide long non-coding RNA is filed under the name Dermacentor andersoni. RNAcentral describes it as "uncharacterized LOC126545724". The record is from RNAcentral. Lineage: Eukaryota; Metazoa; Arthropoda; Arachnida; Ixodida; Ixodidae.